AUACGUAGGGUGCUAGCGUUGUUCGGAAUCAUUGGGCGUAAAGCGUGUGUAGGUGGCUUAGUAAGUUGAUUGUGAAAUCCCUCGGCUCAACCGAGGAAGUGCAGUCAAAACUGCUAGGCUAGAGGAUGGCAGAGGAAGGUGGAAUUCCAAGUGUAGAGGUGAAAUUCGUAGAUAUUUGGAGGAAUACCGGCGGCGAAGGCGGCCUUCUGGACCAUUCCUGACACUGAGACACGAAAGCGUGGGUAGC
Molecule: ribosomal RNA, 247 nt
Filed under: uncultured bacterium
Lineage: Bacteria
Description: partial 16S ribosomal RNA
Rfam family: Bacterial small subunit ribosomal RNA
Source: RNAcentral